RNAcentral lists this ribosomal RNA (497 nucleotides) under uncultured bacterium. Its description in RNAcentral is "partial 16S ribosomal RNA". It matches the Rfam family "Bacterial small subunit ribosomal RNA", at positions 28 to 507 of the family's 1533-position model. The record is from RNAcentral.
GAUGAACGCUGGCGGCGUGCCUAAUACAUGCAAGUCGAGCGAACGGACGAGAAGCUUGCUUCUCUGAUGUUAGCGGCGGACGGGUGAGUAACACGUGGAUAACCUACCUAUAAGACUGGGAUAACUUCGGGAAACCGGAGCUAAUACCGGAUGAUAUUUUGAACCGCAUGGUUCAAAAGUGAAAGACGGUCUUGCUGUCACUUAUAGAUGGAUCCGCGCUGCAUUAGCUAGUUGGUAAGGUAACGGCUUACCAAGGCAACGAUGCAUAGCCGACCUGAGAGGGUGAUCGGCCACACUGGAACUGAGACACGGUCCAGACUCCUACGGGAGGCAGCAGUAGGGAAUCUUCCGCAAUGGGCGAAAGCCUGACGGAGCAACGCCGCGUGAGUGAUGAAGGUCUUCGGAUCGUAAAACUCUGUUAUUAGGGAAGAACAUAUGUGUAAGUAACUGUGCACAUCUUGACGGUACCUAAUCAGAAAGCCGCGGCUAACUACGUG